AAAGGUAAGCUACUAAGAGCGAAUGGUGGAUGCCUUGACUGGUAAAGGCGAUGAAGGACGUACUAGACUGCGAUAAGCUACGGGGAGCUGUCAAGAAGCUUUGAUCCGUAGAUUUCCGAAUGGGGCAACCCAAUGUAUAGAGAUAUGCAUUACCUAUAUAGGAGCGAACGAGG
RNAcentral lists this ribosomal RNA (173 nucleotides) under Campylobacter jejuni. RNAcentral describes it as "partial 23S ribosomal RNA". It matches the Rfam family "Bacterial large subunit ribosomal RNA", at positions 1 to 188 of the family's 2925-position model. The record is from RNAcentral. Lineage: Bacteria; Pseudomonadati; Campylobacterota; Epsilonproteobacteria; Campylobacterales; Campylobacteraceae.